RNAcentral lists this ribosomal RNA (497 nucleotides) under uncultured bacterium. Its description in RNAcentral is "partial 16S ribosomal RNA". It matches the Rfam family "Bacterial small subunit ribosomal RNA", at positions 28 to 507 of the family's 1533-position model. The record is from RNAcentral.
GAUGAACGCUGGCGGCGUGCCUAAUACAUGCAAGUCGAGCGAACAGACGAGGAGCUUGCUCCUCUGACGUUAGCGGCGGACGGGUGAGUAACACGUGGAUAACCUACCUAUAGGACUGGGAUAACUUCGGGAAACCGGAGCUAAUGCCGGAUAAUAUAUUGAACCGCAUGGUUCAAUAGUGAAAGACGGUUUUGCUGUCACUUAUAGAUGGAUCCGCGCCGCAUUAGCUAGUUGGUAAGGUAACGGCUUACCAAGGCAACGAUGCGUAGCCGACCUGAGAGGGUGAUCGGCCACACUGGAACUGAGACACGGUCCAGACUCCUACGGGAGGCAGCAGUAGGGAAUCUUCCGCAAUGGGCGAAAGCCUGACGGAGCAACGCCGCGUGAGUGAUGAAGGUCUUCGGAUCGUAAAACUCUGUUAUUAGGGAAGAACAAAUGUGUAAGUAACUAUGCACGUCUUGACGGUACCUAAUCAGAAAGCCACGGCUAACUACGUG